GCUUAGAGUUUGAUCCUGGCUCAGGAUGAACGCUGGCGGCGUGCCUAACACAUGCAAGUCGAACGGACUCUUCGGAGUCAGUGGCGGACGGGUGAGUAACGCGUGAGAACCUGCCUCUAGGAGGGGGAUAACAGCGGGAAACGGCUGCUAAUACCCCAUGAGCCGUAAGGUAAAAAGGAAUCCGCCUAGAGAGGGGCUCGCGUCCGAUUAGCUAGUUGGGGAGGUAAAAGCUCACCAAGGCGACGAUCGGUAGCUGGUCUGAGAGGAUGAGCAGCCACACUGGGACUGAGACACGGCCCAGACUCCUACGGGAGGCAGCAGUGGGGAAUUUUCCGCAAUGGGCGAAAGCCUGACGGAGCAACGCCGCGUGAGGGAAGAAGGCCUUUGGGUUGUAAACCUCUUUUCUCAGGGAAGAAGUUCUGACGGUACCUGAGGAAUCAGCCUCGGCUAACUCCGUGCCAGCAGCCGCGGUAAUACGGAGGAGGCAAGCGUUAUCCGGAAUUAUUGGGCGUAAAGCGUUCGUAGGCGGCCGUUCAAGUCUGCUGUCAAAGUCCGAGGCUCAACUUCGGGAAGGCAGUGGAAACUGAACAGCUAGAGGUCGGAAGGGGCAGAGGGAAUUCCCAGUGUAGCGGUGAAAUGCGUAGAUAUUGGGAAGAACACCGGUGGCGAAAGCGCUCUGCUGGGCCGAACCUGACGCUGAGGGACGAAAGCUAGGGGAGCGAAUGGGAUUAGAUACCCCAGUAGUCCUAGCCGUAAACGAUGGAGACUAGGUGUUGCCUGUAUCGACCCGGGCAGUGCCGAAGCCAACGCGUUAAGUCUCCCGCCUGGGGAGUACGCACGCAGUGUGAAACUCAAAGGAAUUGACGGGGGCCCCGCACAGCGGUGGAGUAUGUGGUUUAAUUCGAUGCAACGCGAAGAACCUUACCAGGGCUUGACAUCCCGCGAAUCCCGGCG
RNAcentral lists this ribosomal RNA (954 nucleotides) under uncultured bacterium. RNAcentral describes it as "bacterial SSU rRNA". It matches the Rfam family "Bacterial small subunit ribosomal RNA", at positions 1 to 1003 of the family's 1533-position model. The record is from RNAcentral.